Molecule: ribosomal RNA, 444 nt
Filed under: uncultured Beijerinckiaceae bacterium
Lineage: Bacteria; Pseudomonadati; Pseudomonadota; Alphaproteobacteria; Hyphomicrobiales; Beijerinckiaceae
Description: bacterial SSU rRNA
Rfam family: Bacterial small subunit ribosomal RNA
Source: RNAcentral
GCCUACGGGUGGCAGCAGUGGGGAAUAUUGGACAAUGGGCGCAAGCCUGAUCCAGCCAUGCCGCGUGAGUGAUGACGGCCCUAGGGUUGUAAAGCUCUUUCGGCGGGGACGAUAAUGACGGUACCCGCAGAAGAAGCCCCGGCUAACUUCGUGCCAGCAGCCGCGGUAAUACGAAGGGGGCAAGCGUUGUUCGGAAUCACUGGGCGUAAAGGGCGCGUAGGCGGACAUUUAAGUCAGGGGUGAAAUCCCGGGGCUCAACCCCGGAACUGCCCUUGAUACUGGGUGUCUUGAGACCGGAAGAGGCAAGUGGAACUGCGAGUGUAGAGGUGAAAUUCGUAGAUAUUCGCAAGAACACCAGUGGCGAAGGCGGCUUGCUGGUCCGGAUCUGACGCUGAGGCGCGAAAGCGUGGGGAGCAAACAGGAUUAGAUACCCCAGUAGUCCUG